UUCAAUUGGGUGUUUUAUUACUUUAUGACUUGUGUUUGAUAUGAUUAGUGGCUCUUUGUUGAAUCGUUACACCUCCAUUAGGGACACGCCCUAGGUGGUAAUUUGGGGGUGUGACAGUUUGGUAUCAGAGCCACUGGUUAUAGAGAACUCGGUUUUAAAACGUUUUCAUAAAACCAGACUAUAACCGAAUUGAUUCAAACGAUGACCAUGACACUCAGCUUCAGACUGCAAGGUUCGUUCCUCGUUAGCUUAUGCUUUAUAUGCCUAGUAAACGUAACUAUAUUUAUAGCAUGCACGAUACGACAUGGUAGGCAUCAUGACACAUUGAUAGUGUAACAUAACACUUGCAUCUAGUAAAUUCUAAUCUUGUUGGUAGUGCUUAUUUUGUGUUGAUUGGGAUGGGAGAAACUUCAAACAUAAGUUAAGAAGCAUCGAGAGGAGCAUGCAAACCGCCUUAUUAUCAUGGGUGCACACAUAAUAAUAACGCGUGGUGCAUGCAAAUCCCAAUGAGGCUUAACGAAUGUAAAAGGGGAUCUUCCCUGUCUGUGUAUUAACCUGAUAGUAAAUCGAUAGAAGCUUCUCAUGUUCUUUUUGGUUGUAAACUUGAUCUCGUGGGUCAAGUGUUCGACAUUGACCUACUUCCCAAUACUCUUGUAAGUUUUGACAUAGUCAUUGACAUGGACUUGGUUAUCUAUGUACCAAGCAGAAAAUUCUCUGCAAAAAGAAAAUCGUGCGUUCCCUCUCCCCAGUGGGGAAUCCUUAUCAGUUUAAGAUCAUCGUGGUGGCGCCGUUGUUGGCAUUGUCACAGUCAUGAAAGCCAGGAGAGUCUACGGAAGGGCUACUCUACUAUACUAGCUCUUGUCACCGAUUCGCCACUUUAAGAAAGGAAGAUAGAGUAUCUUCCAGUUAUUCGUGAAUUUUCUGACGUGUCUUCUGAAAAGUUACUUGGUUUACUUCCACAUCGUUAGGUGGAAUUCCAGAAUUGACCUUAUGCCAAUCCUGAUUUCCUUCUGGGAUACAGCAAUCCCUUGGAUUCGCUGGAUACUAUCACAGAUUCAUCACGGGAUUUUCGAAGAUUGCGUAGCCUUAACCUCGUUAGCACUGUGAGGAGCGGUGAACUCUUGGGAACCAAACUAGGAGGACGUCUUCUCAGCUUUCUCAGCUUAGGGAAGUGGGGUAGGCGAAGCACGUGGGCCUCGAUAUCCUAUUCACCUGAGUUUUGAUACGAUGCAUUGAAACCUGAAGACCAUAUGUGGGUGACCGGGCCUGAAGGCCCACAUGGCAACGCAAGUGAACGAUGUUUGACUCGUGGGAAGGUCAAGGUGGAGUAUCAACAACCAGAAACACCUAUUCGUAGAUUAGAACAGACUGCCAUGGAGGUGCCAACUUCUGUUACAUUUGAUUUUGAACUAUACCUGAUUUAUGACAGGUAAUACACAACACCCUUGACUCACAUCUAGACAUGAGCAUUACUUAUCACUGUAGGACAACCGGAGAAAGUAACGAACCAUCCCGACACACGAAGACAUGCUGCGAGCAUGUGCGUGAUUGACUUUAGUAAACAUUUGGGAAGGACACUUACCUUUGGGUGAGCUCUACUGCAGCCGUUACCGUUUUAGUAUGCAUACAGCUCUGUUUGAGGCAUUGUGUGGAUGAUACUGCCAACCUCCUUGUUGGAUUGAGGUGGAUGACAACCUCAUCACGGGACUAGGACUGGCACUCGGUAUUGGAAAUUGUGUGGCGACAACGCGUGAUCGCCAGGAACCCUGAUAACUUAGGAAACACUGGGAGUUCGCUGCAGGCGAACAUGUCAUAUUGGAAGUCUCACCCUGGGAGGGUGCGAAACGCUAUUGGAAAGGUGGCAAGCCUAGUCUACGGUACGCUGGGACAUUCGUAUUCCUGGAACGGAUCAGUGAUAUGACUCACAAACACGAAUUACCUAAUGAAUUGGGUAACGGUCACAAUGCCACUUAUGCCUCAAAUCUAAAGAAGUGGUUGCCCGACGGAAAAACUAGUGAUACCCUUAUUAGAACCUAAGGCUGACGACAAGUUGCAGUUGUCGUGGGAUCUACUGAAAUCAUGGACCUGGACAUCAGGAUUCGUUAGUAUAGUCGAAUUUAAAUCAUGAGAGUUCGUUGGAACUCAAAACGUGGACCGGAGUUCACGUGGGAACGCGAUGAUCGGAGUAAGCUCUAGUAUCCUCAGUUGUUCAAGUGGUUGUAUCAACUCUUGAUAUCAUUGGCGAAUUUCGGGACGAAAUUCCUCUUCAAGUUGGGGAUGAUGUGGCACCUGGGGAAAAUCUGCCACAAUCUUGAUUUCUCACUUCACUCCUCUGUGCUUACUUGUCAAAUUUCGGGACGAAAUUUCUUUCAAGUUGGGGAUGAUGUAACACCCGACCUUCACAGGGUGAACACAAACCCUGUUAACUCCGUUAAAGUAUAUAUUCACUUAGGCGUUGUGUUUAAGUUUAGAUAAAUCAGGUGUCCCAAAAAUUUCACAUACAAUCGCUACAUAGUGUUCGUGAGCAAAUAGAUAUAACUUAUAUAAUAUUUCCCUACUAUGUGAAAUAAUUUUAAACUAUGUGAAAAGUUUCAUGUUAUGAGAAUUACGUGAAUUUACAUGCUACAUGAUUUUAUAUGCAAUAUGACUUGCAUGAUUCGUUUUGUGAACUUUCGUGAAACUACAUGUAUUUCUGUAUAACAAUAAGGUCAUUAACGAAUCGUAUAUCUUAAAUUUCGAGGACGAAAUUUCUAUAACAUGGGGAGAAUGUGACAACCCGAACUCUCGACCGUGAUCGUCGAGAGGAGUAAUCUAUUUUAUCAUUAUUAUUAUUAUUUGUUUAUCGGAUAAUAAAACACGCGACGGACGAUUUAUUUAAUUACGCAUCUAGUUAACAUAAUUGGGCCUAAUUUGUUUUCGCUAGAAAUCCACACACACGCACUUGGGCUAGGCCCAACCUACCUAAACCUAGUGUUUAAACAUCCCUAUACCUCUCACCCCUAUUUAAAAAAAAAAUAAACAUAAAAACCCUAACCUAAAAUAAUAGCCGCACACCACGCACUUCUCCAUGCCUCUUCUUCAUCUCCGACGGCCGGAAGUUCCGGUGCCCCUUUCACCAACCGUAGCACACCCUCAUACAUUUACAACCCUCCUUCAUUCUAUUUGAUCAAGCCCUCACAAGACCCCAUCUCCCCUUAUCUUGUUCCCACACGCACACCCCUGCACAGUAGAGAUAGAGAGAGAGAGAGAGCAAAGAUAGAACCGGCGACGACCGGAGACGCCGCUCAUGUCCGCAGUGACGGCGUUUUCUCCUUCUCCGAUGGUGAUAAAGCUGUGAAGACGCUGAUUCAGCAACAGAUUUUGAGCGGGUUCGAGCUCGGUUCGGACUUGGGUUCGAAUCACGGAUGUUUCGGGUUUGUUCCGGGUCUCGGUUCAGAAAAGGAAGUAGCAGGACGUGAUUGACCUACCUUGACUGUUAACCAUUUUUAAGAGACCAACCGAGCAAACCAAAGGUAAUUAUUGAAGGAACUUGGGAGCUUGCUGUCUGAUGCUGCUGGAGUGGUUGUGGUCAUAAUAAACAGUUAUUUUGAUUUGGUUUUGAUACAUUUACACACUUAUACAUUUAUGCUUCCGCUCAGUACUUUGGUUUUGGUUUAACUUUCAAACGAUACAUUUCUUUCAA
Helianthus annuus (common sunflower) is the source of this 3682-nucleotide long non-coding RNA. RefSeq lists it as uncharacterized. The record is from RefSeq and is a predicted model, not a curated record. Lineage: Eukaryota; Viridiplantae; Streptophyta; Magnoliopsida; Asterales; Asteraceae. The transcript has 3 exons.